GGGAGGCCAAACUGCGAGUCGAGCGAGCUUGCCUAGAUGAUUUUAGUGCUUGCACUAAAUGAAACUAGAUACAAGCGAGCGGCGGACGGGUGAGUAACACGUGGGUAACCUGCCCAAGAGACUGGGAUAACACCUGGAAACAGAUGCUAAUACCGGAUAACAACACUAGACGCAUGUCUAGAGUUUGAAAGAUGGUUCUGCUAUCACUCUUGGAUGGACCUGCGGUGCAUUAGCUAGUUGGUAAGGUAACGGCUUACCAAGGCAAUGAUGCGUAGCCGAGUUGAGAGACUGAUCGGCCACAUUGGGACUGAGACACGGCCCAAACUCCUACGGGAGGCAGCAGUAGGGAAUCUUCCACAAUGGACGAAAGUCUGAUGGAGCAACGCCGCGUGAGUGAAGAAGGGUUUCGGCUCGUAAAGCUCUGUUGGUAGUGAAGAAAGAUAGAGGUAGUAACUGGCCUUUAUUUGACGGUAAUUACUUAGAAAGUCACGGCUAACUACGUGCCAGCAGCCGCGGUAAUACGUAGGUGGCAAGCGUUGUCCGGAUUUAUUGGGCGUAAAGCGAGUGCAGGCGGUUCAAUAAGUCUGAUGUGAAAGCCUUCGGCUCAACCGGAGAAUUGCAUCAGAAACUGUUGAACUUGAGUGCAGAAGAGGAGAGUGGAACUCCAUGUGUAGCGGUGGAAUGCGUAGAUAUAUGGAAGGACACCAGUGGCGAAGGCGGCUCUCUGGUCUGCAACUGACGCUGAGGCUC
This 750-nucleotide ribosomal RNA is filed under the name uncultured bacterium. Its description in RNAcentral is "bacterial SSU rRNA". It matches the Rfam family "Bacterial small subunit ribosomal RNA", at positions 41 to 754 of the family's 1533-position model. The record is from RNAcentral.